This 71-nucleotide transfer RNA is filed under the name Marinilabiliales bacterium. RNAcentral describes it as "tRNA-Gln". It matches the Rfam family "tRNA". Rfam says of the family: Transfer RNA (tRNA) molecules are approximately 80 nucleotides in length. Lineage: Bacteria; Pseudomonadati; Bacteroidota; Bacteroidia; Marinilabiliales. The record is from RNAcentral.
UACCCCGUCGUCUAAUGGUAGGACUUUGCGCUCUGAACGCAAAAAUUGAGGUUCGAAUCCUUGCGGGGUAA